Molecule: ribosomal RNA, 468 nt
Filed under: uncultured bacterium
Lineage: Bacteria
Description: partial 16S ribosomal RNA
Rfam family: Bacterial small subunit ribosomal RNA
Source: RNAcentral
GAUGAACGCUGGCGGCGUGCUUAACACAUGCAAGUCGAACGGAAAGGCCGAAGCUUGCUUCGGUACUCGAGUGGCGAACGGGUGAGUAACACGUGGGUGAUCUGCCCUGUACUUCGGGAUAAGCUUUGGAAACUGGGUCUAAUACCGGAUAUGACGAUCUCUUGGAUGGGGUUGUGGAAAGCUUUUGCGGUAUGGGAUGAGCUCGCGGCCUAUCAGCUUGUUGGUGGGGUAAUGGCCUACCAAGGCGUCGACGGGUAGCCGGCCUGAGAGGGUGUACGGCCACAUUGGGACUGAGAUACGGCCCAGACUCCUACGGGAGGCAGCAGGGGGGAAUAUUGCACAAUGGGCGCAAGCCUGAUGCAGCGACGCCGCGUGGGGGAUGACGGCCUUCGGGUUGUAAACUCCUUUCGCAAUCGACGAAGCCUUUUGGUGACGGUAGGUUGAGAAGAAGCACCGGCUAACUACGUG